This 468-nucleotide ribosomal RNA is filed under the name uncultured bacterium. Its description in RNAcentral is "partial 16S ribosomal RNA". It matches the Rfam family "Bacterial small subunit ribosomal RNA", at positions 28 to 507 of the family's 1533-position model. The record is from RNAcentral.
GAUGAACGCUGGCGGCGUGCUUAACACAUGCAAGUCGAACGGAAAGGCCCUGCUUUUGUGGGGUGCUCGAGUGGCGAACGGGUGAGUAACACGUGAGUAACCUGCCCUUGACUUUGGGAUAACUUCAGGAAACUGGGGCUAAUACCGGAUAGGAGCUCCUGCUGCAUGGUGGGGGUUGGAAAGUUUCGGCGGUUGGGGAUGGACUCGCGGCUUAUCAGCUUGUUGGUGGGGUAGUGGCUUACCAAGGCUUUGACGGGUAGCCGGCCUGAGAGGGUGACCGGCAACAUUGGGACUGAGAUACGGCCCAGACUCCUACGGGAGGCAGCAGUGGGGAAUAUUGCACAAUGGGCGGAAGCCUGAUGCAGCAACGCCGCGUGCGGGAUGACGGCCUUCGGGUUGUAAACCGCUUUCGCCUGUGACGAAGCGUGAGUGACGGUAAUGGGUAAAGAAGCACCGGCUAACUACGUG